CGCAGUGGCUCACGCCUGUAAUCUCAACACUUUGGGAGGCCAAGGAGAAGAGCAAGUAAAAUGUUGAACAAGAAGACAGAAGUGUCUUCUUGCAGUUCCUGUAAGAAGGCAGAAGUAUUUGCAGAGGGGAGAAUGUGGAAGAAAUAGAGAAUAAUUAUCUCUUACCAAAUGUAAUGGCUUUUGUUGUGUUUUUUCUUUUCUAAU
This is a long non-coding RNA of Homo sapiens (human), 204 nucleotides long. The record is from Ensembl. NCBI's taxonomy places the organism in Eukaryota, Metazoa, Chordata, Mammalia, Primates, Hominidae.